GAUGAACGCUGGCGGCGUGCCUAAUACAUGCAAGUCGAGCGAACAGACGAGGAGCUUGCUCCUCUGACGUUAGCGGCGGACGGGUGAGUAACACGUGGAUAACCUACCUAUAAGACUGGGAUAACUUCGGGAAACCGGAGCUAAUACCGGAUAAUAUAUUGAACCGCAUGGUUCAAUAGUGAAAGACGGUUUUGCUGUCACUUAUAGAUGGAUCCGCGCCGCAUUAGCUAGAUGGUAAGGUAACGGCUUACCAAGGCAACGAUGCGUAGCCGACAUGAGAGAGUGAUCGGCCACACUGGAACUGAGACACAGUACAAGCUCCUAAGGGAGGGAGCAGUAGGGAAUCUGCCGCACUGGGCGAAAGCCUGACGGAGCAACGCCGCGUGGGUUAUGAAGGUCUUCGGAACGUAAGACUCUGUUAUUAGGGAGGAACAAAUGUGUAAGUAACUAUGCACGACUUGACGGUACCUAAUCAGAAAGCUACGGCUAACUACGUG
Molecule: ribosomal RNA, 497 nt
Filed under: uncultured bacterium
Lineage: Bacteria
Description: partial 16S ribosomal RNA
Rfam family: Bacterial small subunit ribosomal RNA
Source: RNAcentral